This 551-nucleotide ribosomal RNA is filed under the name Potamon hueceste. Its description in RNAcentral is "eukaryotic LSU rRNA". The stretch from base 466 to 551 matches the Rfam family "Eukaryotic large subunit ribosomal RNA", at positions 813 to 898 of the family's 3401-position model. Lineage: Eukaryota; Metazoa; Arthropoda; Malacostraca; Decapoda; Potamidae. The record is from RNAcentral.
GGGGGGCGUCCCGGGGCUUCCUUCGCGGGAGCCCCGGUCGGCGCCCUCCGGGGCCGAUCCUCGACAGACCGUCGCCGCCGGUGUCUCUUCCCACACCAAAGCGGGGCCGAGAAGGGAGAGGCGCGGGGUGAGACCCUUUCCCCCGUCGUCCGACUCCCGGCCCCGUGGGUACCCGGCGAGCGCGGCAGUCCGGUGGUCCCCUCCUCUCUCGGGGGGAGGAUGCCUCCGCCUGUACGCAGGGGGGCGCAGGCCCGGGACUUGCCAUUAGACGCCGUCGCGCAAAUCUGUUGUUGGCCUCGCCGGCUCUGCUUGGGCUCUCGGUUGGCGGGCCGCGCGUCAGGCGGGCUUUAGGGCGGGGGCAUCCCCGUCCGGGUCCGUCCCGCGCGGUUUUGCCUUCCGAUCCUGCUCUGUCCGGAGUGGCCUAGCGCGCGUGCUGUCGGCAAGUACCAUGAGCAGACAUGUUGGGACCCGAAAGAUGGUGAACUAUGCCUGGCCAGGAUGAAGCCAGAGGAAACUCUGGUGGAGGUCCGCAGCAAUUCUGACGUGCAAAU